Molecule: ribosomal RNA, 253 nt
Filed under: uncultured bacterium
Lineage: Bacteria
Description: partial 16S ribosomal RNA
Rfam family: Bacterial small subunit ribosomal RNA
Source: RNAcentral
UACGUAGGGUGCGAGCGUUGUCCGGAAUUCUUGGGCGUAAAGGGCUCGUAGGCGGUUUGUCGCGUCGGGAGUGAAAUCCACUGGCUUAACUGGUGGCUUGCUUUCGAUACGGGCAGACUGGAGGUAUGCAGGGGAGAACGGAAUUCCUGGUGUAGCGGUGAAAUGCGCAGAUAUCAGGAGGAACACCGAUGGCGAAGGCAGGUCUCUGGGCAUUAACUGACGCUGAGGAGCGAAAGCAUGGGGAGCGAACAGG